UGAAUUUUGGUAUAUGAUGCACGGAAAAUUUUGAAUUUUCAAGUAAUGGUUUAAUUCCAUUAAAUUCAA
This 69-nucleotide transfer RNA is filed under the name Sclerogryllus punctatus. RNAcentral's name for it is "tRNA-Gln". It matches the Rfam family "tRNA". From Rfam's summary of the family: Transfer RNA (tRNA) molecules are approximately 80 nucleotides in length. Their secondary structure includes four short double-helical elements and three loops (D, anti-codon, and T loops). Lineage: Eukaryota; Metazoa; Arthropoda; Insecta; Orthoptera; Gryllidae. The record is from RNAcentral.